UUGCUCUUCAACGAGGAAUCCCUAGUAAGCGCAAGUCAUCAGCUUGCGUUGAUUACGUCCCUGCCCUUUGUACACACCGCCCGUCGCUACUACCGAUUGAAUGGCUCAGUGAGGCUUCCGGACUGGCCCAGAGAGGUCGGCAACGACCACUCAGGGCCGGAAAGCUACCCAAACUCGGUCAUUUAGAGGAAGUAAAAGUCGUAACAAGGUCUCCGUUGGUGAACCAGCGGAGGGAUCAUUACAGAGUUGCAAAACUCCCUAAACCAUUGUGAACGUUACCUAUACCGUUGCUUCGGCGGGCGGCCCCGGGGUUUACCCCCCGGGCGCCCCUGGGCCCCACCGCGGGCGCCCGCCGGAGGUCACCAAACUCUUGAUAAUUUAUGGCCUCUCUGAGUCUUCUGUACUGAAUAAGUCAAAACUUUCAACAACGGAUCUCUUGGUUCUGGCAUCGAUGAAGAACGCAGCGAAAUGCGAUAAGUAAUGUGAAUUGCAGAAUUCAGUGAAUCAUCGAAUCUUUGAACGCACAUUGCGCCCGCCAGCAUUCUGGCGGGCAUGCCUGUUCGAGCGUCAUUUCAACCAUCAAGCCCCCGGGCUUGUGUUGGGGACCUGCGGCUGCCGCAGGCCCUGAAAAGCAGUGGCGGGCUCGCUGUCGCACCGAGCGUAGUAGCAUACAUCUCGCUCUGGUCGCGCCGCGGGUUCCGGCCGUUAAACCACCUUUUAACCCAAGGUUGACCUCGGAUCAGGUAGGAAGACCCGCUGAACUUAAGCAUAUCAAUAAGCGGAGGAAAUCUGAAUUCGUC
RNAcentral lists this ribosomal RNA (800 nucleotides) under uncultured fungus. RNAcentral's name for it is "eukaryotic LSU rRNA". The stretch from base 1 to 241 matches the Rfam family "Eukaryotic small subunit ribosomal RNA", at positions 1593 to 1831 of the family's 1831-position model. Lineage: Eukaryota; Fungi. The record is from RNAcentral.